Molecule: long non-coding RNA, 1335 nt
Organism: Carassius gibelio (silver crucian carp)
Lineage: Eukaryota; Metazoa; Chordata; Actinopteri; Cypriniformes; Cyprinidae
Exons: 3
Source: RefSeq, a predicted model, not a curated record
GCUGUCCAAAAACCGGCUUGGUCAGGCAUGUGCUGCUAAACUAGCUCAAGUCCUUCCGUUACUGCCACAACUUACAGAACUCAAUUUGUCAGAGAAUCAUUUUGGGCCACAUGGAUCCUUGGUUCUUAGUGUCAAGGUCUGAUGAGCAUGAAGGCACUGAAAACACUACAUUUGACUUCAAUUGGGAGUUCAGAUCUGGUUGGUGUGGCCUCAUCCCUCAAACACUGUCCAUCCAUAGAGGACAUCAGGUGGGAUAAGACAUUUCAGACUUUUUUUAAUGCUGCAGUUGGACUGAUAAAUGCAUUGUCCCGGUCCCUGUGUUGUGUGUGUGUUGCCAUUAGAAAAAUACUUGAGUAAGUGCUUGAGUGCUUGCUGUGAAGGUUUAGCUAUUACUGCGAUUACAAAAUGCUGAUGUCAUUAAAAGUAAUGAUUGCAUCUUGGAAGCCAAUAAUAUAACUACAGCAGGAGCCACAGUGAUAGCCACAUGCCUCCCAUUAUGCCCCUCCGUUGAAGUAAUAAGGUUUGACUAGUACAUACACUCUUGUUCAGAAAAUGUGUGAUUUAAUAUGAAUAGUAGAACUGCUUGACAUGCAUAUAAAAAGUUGAGCUUCUCUUUAUUUUACACAGACUCUGGAGGAACCCAAUUGCCAAAGAAGAUGAGAAUCUGAAAGAUCAGAGACUUAAUUUUUCAUCAUUUUAAUUACUUAUGUUUUCAUUUUGUAUUUUUUCCCCCAUAUAUUGUAAACAAUAUUGUUGUAGUACUAUUACUGGAUUGUAAUGUCUAGUUAUUUAAUCAGGGAACACAUUACCUUAUUAGAGCAAUUCAUUACACCAAACAACACAGUUUCCAGUUGUUCAGGGACUUGAAUCAAUUAAUGUCCAUCUAAUGAUAACAGUAGGCUCUGUUUAAUAAAGAGAAAGAGCAGGCAACAAACUAUGGCAUAAAAAAAAAUCAAUUUGAUUACCUUAACAAGAGAUUUACAUUUUCUGCAGAUUUUCUAAAUUGGAAGAAUUAGAAACAAUGAAAAUGUGACUAAUUAGCACAGGCAGCUCUCUUGUAAAGUUCAGCACACUCAUGCUCUUUGUUAUGCACUGACAUAAGAGCCCAGACCUCCAUUAGGGGCAUUCAUGCAAUGAUCAACCCUGGACAUCACCAUGUUGUGUUAACUGUUAGCUAUAAAUUGUUUUAUUUUAAUUUAUUUUUUUGUUGUGUGCUAAACUCUGUGUUAUCUGUAAAAUGAAAUUGCCCAGUGCUUGUGUCACAGGGAAAAGCACAAACAUCCUCUCUGAUAGCUGCACUGAUACAUUUGCAUUAUGUUCAUCUUCUGUGUUUUU